This 71-nucleotide transfer RNA is filed under the name Candidatus Vogelbacteria bacterium RIFOXYD1_FULL_44_32. Its description in RNAcentral is "tRNA-Gly". It matches the Rfam family "tRNA". From Rfam's summary of the family: Transfer RNA (tRNA) molecules are approximately 80 nucleotides in length. Their secondary structure includes four short double-helical elements and three loops (D, anti-codon, and T loops). Lineage: Bacteria; Candidatus Vogeliibacteriota. The record is from RNAcentral.
GCGGGUAUAGUUUAGUGGUAGAAUGGCACACUUCCAAUGUGCAGACGGGAGUUCGAUUCCCCCUACCCGCA